This is a long non-coding RNA of Gallus gallus (chicken), 1495 nucleotides long. Lineage: Eukaryota; Metazoa; Chordata; Aves; Galliformes; Phasianidae. The record is from Ensembl.
UGCUUCGCAGGGAGGUUUUCUGAUCACGGGGUGGAACUGAGCGGUGUCUCGGGGAGCACCGCGGGUUGCGCUGGGUGCUGCGGGGGUCUCCUGGGCUUAGAGAGAUUGAAUGGGAAUGGUGAACCCCUCUGGGAGAGGGGGGGAAGGAGGAAGAUGGAGCCGUGUACGUAAAUGGAUAAACAGCCGUUAGUGGAGAUGGGGACUUUGGAGGCUUUGUCUAAGCCUGAGUCACUGAAGACCUUGGGUUCCUGCUGCCAAGCCCUGGCUGCUGGUGCUGACAACGUAAAUUCCCAACGAUGUCACAUCACAUGAUGGCGAAGCUGGUUUGAAGCCCGGGCUCUCAAAGCGACUUCCAGCAGACCAUGACGGGAAUCAAGGUAGGGAUGUCACCACUAAUUGCAUUGGCUAUGGCGGCGCUCGUGGGCAACCAGGGGCCGGCUCAGGAGCCCCAGCAGCACUCGUGCAUCCCGGCAGUGCCCAGCUGUGCUCUCGUCCUCCUGGUGGGGCACCGGGAUGAGCCGGGUCUGUGAGCUGUGCCGCUGUGGGCAGCACAGGAGCCCGGCAGGACCUGCUUUGUUGUGUGCAGAGCUGCGAGGAGGGCUGCGGGAUGCUCGCUGGCUGCCACAGCCGCGUCGUUGCGGGCAGAUUUAUUAAGCUCAGUCUCGGCAGCGGUGUCACCGCAGCUGGCGGCACAUCUGGAGCAGGAGGAAGGGGAGGGCAGCUCCGUAAAUCACGGGGUUGAUUUGGGUGAGCGCUGCUGCUGGCUGUUAGGGUCGUCGUGUAUGGUUCUGAGGGCAGCGAGCUCGUGCCCAGCCAGCAGCUGCAGUGUGUGCUCGUGCACCCCUCUGCUAUUGUUUGGUGCAUCACAAGGCGUUCAGUGACUUUGAUACGGCAAUGCACAGUGGCAUCGUGGCGGCAGAGGGAGGUCCAUCCGGCACUGUUGGUUUCCGUUUGCUGUUGUCAAGAUUUCCAAAGCUGCUUAAGGAAUUGUAGCACCAAACCCUGUUAGAUCCGGGGGAAUGGGAUCCAGAAAUCCCCGCCAUCCCUUCUUCACUCUUUGUCAGGCUCUUGCUCCAAGCUGUAUCCUGACGGGUGUCCUGCACAGGGCAUGAGAUGUGGCGGGGACAGGAGGGGCAUUGCCACCAUUCCUGCCUGCUGAGCAGAAAGACACGCAGCUUCCUUCUCUCUGCACCACAACACAACAUCUGUUUGAAAGAACAACAAAUACAUGGGUGAGGUGUCCGCUGCCCCGCAUCUGUUGCCAGCUGUGGUUGGGGUCUGCGGUGUGCUUGGUGUCUGCAUUGCUGGGGCCGCCCAGCUUGUGUAAUUCCUGUAAGAUUUGAAGUGUGAAGGUAUGAGAGAGAGAGAUUGUUAUCUCUGGGAGUAAAAAGUUGCCAUUGUAACAUUCAGAUUCAUUUUAGAAGUCAUUUUUAAACCUUAAGUUAAGAAAAAAAUACCUCGAAUUAAGUGCCUAAAGAAGCUACAAAACCUGACU